GGGCAGGUGGCGAAAUUGGUAGACGCGCUGGGCUUAGGACUCAGUUCCCUUAAUCGGGAGUGGAGGUUCAAAUCCUCUCCUGCCCACCA
This 89-nucleotide transfer RNA is filed under the name Candidatus Dojkabacteria bacterium. Its description in RNAcentral is "tRNA-Leu". It matches the Rfam family "tRNA". Rfam says of the family: Transfer RNA (tRNA) molecules are approximately 80 nucleotides in length. Their secondary structure includes four short double-helical elements and three loops (D, anti-codon, and T loops). Further hydrogen bonds mediate the characteristic L-shaped molecular structure. tRNAs have two regions of fundamental functional importance: the anti-codon, which is responsible for specific mRNA codon recognition, and the 3' end, to which the tRNAs corresponding amino acid is attached (by aminoacyl-tRNA synthetases). tRNAs cope with the degeneracy of the genetic code in two manners: having more than one tRNA (with a specific anti-codon) for a particular amino acid; and 'wobble' base-pairing, i.e. permitting non-standard base-pairing at the 3rd anti-codon position. The record is from RNAcentral.